GGGAGACCUUGCUGCUCCCGCCCUGGUGCCUCCUCUUGCAAUAAAGUCGGUGCAACUUCUGGAGUCCCUGGGGUCUGUGCUGGGUGCGCCGGGCGGGGCGGGCCGAGCGGCGGGGCGGACUCCGGGAGGCGGGGCGGGACUCCGGGAGGCGGGGCCAGAAGGCUGGAGCUGCAUAUGCCAGAAGCCAGCUGAGCACAAGGGUUCCCACCACCCAGGGAUACACAAUGGGAAGACCGGACAGAGGACCGGGUCGGGGGAAGGGAGUGAGAGAGAGUGGCUCUUUUUCUUUUUAUAACUUUGUGUACCUAAUCUCAGACUUCCAGAAAAGUUCCCCAGAUGUUAUCAUUUCCUUAUAUUUGCCUAAGCCUUUUAUUAGUUUUUGACAGUAAAUGCAUUCGAUUCCCGUUUAUCCCUAAAUACUUCUGUUGUGUGUUUCCUGAAAGCAAGGAUAUGGUCUUCCACAAG
This 465-nucleotide long non-coding RNA is filed under the name Marmota monax (woodchuck). The record is from RNAcentral. Lineage: Eukaryota; Metazoa; Chordata; Mammalia; Rodentia; Sciuridae.